This 249-nucleotide ribosomal RNA is filed under the name Escherichia coli. RNAcentral's name for it is "partial 23S ribosomal RNA". It matches the Rfam family "Bacterial large subunit ribosomal RNA", at positions 2108 to 2356 of the family's 2925-position model. Lineage: Bacteria; Pseudomonadati; Pseudomonadota; Gammaproteobacteria; Enterobacterales; Enterobacteriaceae. The record is from RNAcentral.
AGCUUGACACUGAACAUUGAGCCUUGAUGUGUAGGAUAGGUGGGAGGCUUUGAAGUGUGGACGCCAGUCUGCAUGGAGCCGACCUUGAAAUACCACCCUUUAAUGUUUGAUGUUCUAACGUUGGCCCGUAAUCCGGGUUGCGGACAGUGUCUGGUGGGUAGUUUGACUGGGGCGGUCUCCUCCUAAAGAGUAACGGAGGAGCACGAAGGUUGGCUAAUCCUGGUCGGACAUCAGGAGGUUAGUGCAAUG